AACGAACGCUGGCGGCAUGCCUAACACAUGCAAGUCGAACGAGACCUUCGGGUCUAGUGGCGCACGGGUGCGUAACGCGUGGGAACCUGCCCUUAGGUUCGGAAUAACUCCCCGAAAGGGGUGCUAAUACCGGAUAAUGUCUUCGGACCAAAGAUUUAUCGCCUUUGGAGGGGCCCGCGUUGGAUUAGCUAGUUGGUAGGGUAAAAGCCUACCAAGGCGACGAUCCAUAGCUGGUCUGAGAGGAUGAUCAGCCACACUGGGACUGAGACACGGCCCAGACUCCUACGGGAGGCAGCAGUGGGGAAUAUUGGACAAUGGGCGAAAGCCUGAUCCAGCAAUGCCGCGUGAGUGAUGAAGGCCUUAGGGUUGUAAAGCUCUUUUAGCCGGGAUGAUAAUGACAGUACCGGGAGAAUAAGCUCCGGCUAACUCCGUG
Molecule: ribosomal RNA, 433 nt
Filed under: uncultured bacterium
Lineage: Bacteria
Description: partial 16S ribosomal RNA
Rfam family: Bacterial small subunit ribosomal RNA
Source: RNAcentral